Molecule: long non-coding RNA, 665 nt
Filed under: Physcomitrium patens
Lineage: Eukaryota; Viridiplantae; Streptophyta; Bryopsida; Funariales; Funariaceae
Description: long non-coding RNA (PPAT_LNC008710)
Source: RNAcentral
AAGCUCCAAGAACUCAAAAAGCUCCAAUUGACCCAUCACCUAUAGCUCAUCCUUCAACUCUCUUGUCUUCCUUCUCCAUAGUUCAAAUAAUUCAAGAUAACCAAAUAACUUCCACCUCAAGCCUUUUACAUCAAAUUCACUAAAAUAUAUGUCAUAUUAUGUGGCAUUUGCCUUAAGAAUGCCCUAGGCACUUGGCUGUAGAAGAUAAAAGGAAAAUUGCAACAAUAAGUCUUAACAACUCUAAUAGGUUUUUAAAUAAAUUACAUUUAAAGAUUAGCACAUAUAAUCAAAUAUCAAUCAAAUUCAAUCAAAAUUAUAAAAAAAUUAUGUAAAAAAUAGAAAUUAUUCUUAAAGUUACUUUAAAGAAAUCAUAAAGAAAUAACAUAGGAAUUCAAAAAUAUACUAAAAUAAAAAUCUUAAUUAAAUCCUAGUCAAAUCCUAACCAAAUUCUAAUCAAAUCCUAACCAAAUUCUAAUCAAAUCCUAAUCAAUCCUAAAUAAAUCCUAAUCAAAUCCUAGUCAAAUCCUAAUCAAAUCCUAGUAAAAUCUUAACCAAAUCCUAACCAAAUCCUAACCAAAUCCUAAUCAAUCCUAAAUAAAUUCUAAUCAAAUCUUAAAAAAAUCCUUAAAAAAUCCUAAAAAAACCUAAACAAACCCUAACCAAAU